Molecule: ribosomal RNA, 200 nt
Filed under: uncultured bacterium
Lineage: Bacteria
Description: partial 16S ribosomal RNA
Rfam family: Bacterial small subunit ribosomal RNA
Source: RNAcentral
GACGAACGCUGGCGGCGUGCUUAACACAUGCAAGUCGAGCGGUAAGGCCCUUUCGGGGGUACGACGAGCGGCGAACGGGUGAGUAACACGUGGGUGACCUGCCCUUACGCUCUGGGAUAAGCCUGGGAAACGUGGGUCGUAAUACCGGAUAUGACUCCAUAACGCAUGUUGUGGGGUGGAAAGCCUUGUGCGGCUAGGGA